Apteryx haastii (Great spotted kiwi) is the source of this 1599-nucleotide long non-coding RNA. The record is from Ensembl. NCBI's taxonomy places the organism in Eukaryota, Metazoa, Chordata, Aves, Apterygiformes, Apterygidae.
AUGCUGCUAUGGACUACACUGACAGAAGCCCAGGAGCUAGAAGAGGUGGCUGAGAGCGUGCUCGAGGAAGUGCUGGAGAGGGUGAAAGAGCUGGAGCAGUCGGUCCGCGUUUUAAGGAGGGCUCCCCUGGCAAUCAGUGGAAGGUUGUUUGGUAGAGCUAGAAGGGCAGAGCUUUCCGAGGCGCCUCCUCCAGAUCUCUGGGAGGAAAUUUGGCUGGUGGCUAGAGAGAUUGCAGCAACCCUUUUGGAUCACUUGGGGAAGCGAGGGGCAUGCAGCACAUCAGACGCCUCUGAGGCCAGGCUGUCGGCCAGGUGGAGGCAGCAGCGCAUUGCCACAGGAGCCACGCGAGCUGGCAAAUGGGGAGAAAGCAGAGCGAGGCAAGCUGAAUUCCCAAGGCUUGACGGAGCAGCUUCUCUGCCGUCUCUUGACCAAAUCGCCAAAGAUGCUGUUGAGAGCAUUGGAGCCACCUUGCAAUCGUUUGUAGCGUCUCAAUUUGAGUAUCGCUUCCACUGUAAAUUUUCUGAAAUCCUGAAGCUGCCCRCUGAGACUGUUUCUAAGAGACAACCGCAGCCACCCCAGACACCUUCCUCAAGCCAGGUCAUGAAAGAAGGAGGAUCACCUAGAGCAUCUGAACAUCGGACACCAGAAGCCGCCAGCUUGCUCGUGUUGCAACCCUUCCAAAAUGCUGCGGAGGUAUCCCGAGAGAGUAGCACGCUUGCAGGGGAGAGCAUCCCAAAUGCAAUUUCCAAAGUUCAGCAGCUCCMCUCAGAAUUAAAAGUGUAUGCUGAGACCAUUGUCCAUGAUGCUCUUGAAAURCUGAAGAAGAAGAAGAAGUUAGAAGAAGAAAGGCGUGCAAAGGCAAGAGCCUCACAAGACAGUUCAGAAGAAAGCACCGUGGAGAGCGGGCUAGUGGAGCGGCUAGGAGAGCAGCACGGUCGGCYUCUGACUGCAGUAGCUUCAGGAGUGAAUUGUGCAAGGCGGGCGGCAAAACAGCCCAGCCGGAGAGAUGGGAACAGCAGCAAUGCGGGGCAGGGCUUUCUAAGGCCAGAAGGAAAGAAAACUCCUGCUGGAAAAUUAGAGGAGAGUCAACCAAGAACAAAGCUCCCACCUAUCACCAUCCCCGGARUGGUCAUGCCUUCAGAGGACGAAGCAGAAUCUGAAGAAUCUCAAGAGGAACUGUCACCUAAUCUCCUCCCACCUGUCCUGCAAAGCUCCGAGCAAGAUGCCCCCCCCCCCCUUCAGCCUGCUGGCAAGACUCUUUUGCUCAAGACAAAUAGCAUAUUAUAUGUCAUUUCUUAACUUUUACUGGCUGUGUUUUGCUGACUAUCCUGAAUGUCUCCACCUGUUUCUACAGAUGGAGCAGCUGCAGUUAAAGGCAAACACCUGGCCUUUCACAGCCAUGCCUUGUGCUUUAAAAGUAGAUUAGAGUUACAGCAGCUCCUAGCAGACCUGGCCUACUUAAGGCCCUAUCAGUAUUUUGAUUAGAAAUGCUGCUUUUGUCGUUGUGCUUUUGUUUCAAGCCCAAGUAAUCUGGAACUUUGCAGAGAGAUUUUUAAGCUCAGCAAAAAUCAUUUACAUGUGGUUUGCUUUUGACUAGCA